Pipra filicauda (Wire-tailed manakin) is the source of this 1003-nucleotide long non-coding RNA. RefSeq lists it as uncharacterized. The transcript has 4 exons. The record is from RefSeq and is a predicted model, not a curated record. Lineage: Eukaryota; Metazoa; Chordata; Aves; Passeriformes; Pipridae.
CAAGUUUUCUGCCCGUUGCCUCUUGUCCUGGUGGUUGGCACCAUCAAGAAGAGCCUGGCUCCAUCUUCUUGGCACCCUGCCUACAGAUAUAUACACACAUCAACGAGGUCCCCUCUCACUGUCUUUUCUUAAGCCAAACAGGCUGGCCCUGGGCAGGGGCCAUGCUGCUUUGGGGGUGCUGAGUACUGAGAGCCAUGGUACCCCGUGGCCCCCACUUCUGAUAACCCACAGACCUUCACUCAGGAGCAGGGGCUGAGGCAGUGCCUGCCCUUUGAAGCCUUGAGCUCCUUUCUGAAAGUGCACACAUGUGUUCCCCUAAGUGCCAUGAAACUCGCCUGAGCCUGCUCAGGCUGGGAUCCUACACAAGCUGGCCUGUUGGUUCGGCAGAGCUGAGACUGGUGUAUGUUCUGCCAACGUGAUUUCAGGCUAUUGCUUAUGUAAAACAGAACACCUCCUAAGCCGUCGUUUACUAAACAGAAUCUCUGGCUUCUGAUCUCACGCUACACAAGGAGGCAAAUUGUAUUCUGUGUGAGAAGCUUUAAACGUGAACGUAAUGGAAAGGGGACAUUCAGCGAAACAAAGACACACCUCCAGAAACAACAAAGACAAGACGAACACUCAGCUGCUGAGGAUUUGCUGACUCGGAGCUCUACAAAACUUACUUGAUCAAGCACCAUCCUUAUACAACACAGAAAAAAACAAGUGAUCAGUUCCACUCAAGACUCACAGAGUUCUCUCAGCAAGAGACACAAGAAAGAAAUCAUCAAGAAUGAAAACUGUUGGAUACAGUUGUAUUACCUGGAGCACAGGGAUGGAGGUCCCUUGGAGCCUGGUGGCAUUCCUUGUGACUGAGGUGACGACAGAGACUAAUUUCUUGCCGUAGUUGAAUGAGACCUAUCUGACGAAAAUGACAGCACCAAUGUCAGUUUAACUGGCACGUAAAUAAUAGAGAUUAUUUCUAUGUUCCUAAAUAAAUAUAUUUUCUUUCCUCCUGGAGAUAUUC